RNAcentral lists this long non-coding RNA (1496 nucleotides) under Triticum aestivum (bread wheat). RNAcentral's name for it is "long non-coding RNA (TAES_LNC016971)". The record is from RNAcentral. Lineage: Eukaryota; Viridiplantae; Streptophyta; Magnoliopsida; Poales; Poaceae.
CCAGCUUUAUCAAUCUUCAGGAGCCCAACGCCUAACAAGGCCAUGCGCCCGUCUAAAUUUUUGUAAACCGCAAGGCAAGCAAUGCAACCCCCAACACACACAAAUAAACCCACAAAUAAAAAUGCAACUCAUUACUUUGCCGAAACAAUGCAAUCAAGCUACAGGGAUGGAAACCACAUGGCCUAGUUCAUCAAAACAACGCCGCUCAUAUAACAAUAAGAUUAGGCAUUCACUAUAGUCAAAAGAAAUGAUCCAACAAGAAUGCAUCUGCUGCACGAACAAGAAAUUAUGGUCUCGCUCGCCCGUCCGUGCAGAGAUAGCAGCAGGGCAACCUGGUAUGAUCCCAAACACAUCAAAUUCAAAUCAGCUCCACCUCACCAACAGUAUUUCCUAUCUUCAUAAGUACAUGACCUCAAAGUGCCGCCGUUGAAACAAGUCCCUGCACCGCAACUUCCAGACGUCCACAAUCACUGUUCAUAGGAGACCAUGUGAGCAAACAUUAGUCCUACUUCUUUUGGUCAAAAGUAUUAGUAACAUUUUUCCUAAAUAAAUGAGGCAGCAACUUUGCUAGAAUAAAAAGACACUUGCAACCUUAUAAAUCCCUGAAGUCCAACUCUAUUAAGUUCCACUCAAUAAAAAUGAAUAGAAGUAGAUAUUUUGAACGAGAGACAGAUCUACAUUCCCUCAUAACAGCAAACAGCAAACAGCAUUAAAGGACAUUCGUACUGAAGUCCAACUCUAUUAAAGGACAUCCUGACAAGAUUUCAUUUGCUCGCUAGCCACUUUCAUGGUCCAGUCUUAUUAUCUUUGAUCACUAAAAUUUGUAGAAAGCAUGAUUAAAAAAAUUAUGAUAUGAAGGAUAUAGAUGCACUACUGGUCAGGCUUCAUGGUAAGUAAACUGUAAUCACUAGCAGAAUUUGUUGUAAGCUGGGAAAUUGAACAUUGUAACUUGAGUACCUCACAAAAUAAAUAGCCACACUUGGAAAAGGGCAUGUUUGAGUAAUUGUCUAUUUAACAGAAUUUUCUCCUUCAGACUAGCAUCAUUGUUCAACGUAGAUUACCAUCUUAUCAUCAACCAAGAUUAUUCAGAGAUUCAGAGAUUACACUACGUGGGAAGAUGAUCACACUACAUAGUUUAUAAUUGUUCAACAACGGAAGGACCAUCCUCCCCAACAUCUACAUGGGAAGAAUCAGAGAUUACACUACAGGCCUGAAUCCAAUAAAUUUUUGGUGUUGUCAUAUUCCUGCACGAUGCGCUUCAUUUGGACAAGAGCUGACAGUAAUCAUCGUGAUCAGAAAAUUUCAAAGACCCUAGAUCUCAAUGGUGGCUUACCUUCAAUUUUUGUGCCCACUAGAACAGAAAUAAUUGAAUGUUUAGUCGCCGGCUAGCCACCUGCAGGGAGGGAGGUAAGGAAGAGAUGAGGCAGGGGGCGAGGUAGCUUGCUCCAUUGGUCGACCACUACGACCAAGCCCAGCCAGGGGUUUGCCUCCAGGAC